GGUAUGCACUGGCUCGCUGACUCCUCCUUCUUGUAGAACCGUAAUGCCAUUAAUUUGGUGUUGCGGGGAAACAGGACUGUUACUUUGAAAAAAUUAGAGUGUUUAAAGCAGGCCAACGCCUGAAUACAUUAGCAUGGAAUAAUGAAAUAGGACGUUCGAACCUAUUUUGUUGGUUUCUAGGAUUGACGUAAUGAUUAAUAGGGAUAGUUGGGGGCAUUAGUAUUCAAUUGUCAGAGGUGAAAUUCUUGGAUUUAUUGAAGACUGACUACUGCGAAAGCAUUUGCCAAGGAUGUUUUCAUUAAUCAAGAACGAAAGUUAGGGGAUCGAAGACGAUCAGAUACCGUCGUAGUCUUAACCAUAAACUAUGCCGACUAGGGAUCGGAUGAUGUUAAUUUUUUAAUGACUCAUUCGGCGCCUUACG
RNAcentral lists this ribosomal RNA (421 nucleotides) under uncultured Glomeromycotina. Its description in RNAcentral is "SSU rRNA". It matches the Rfam family "Eukaryotic small subunit ribosomal RNA", at positions 673 to 1092 of the family's 1831-position model. The record is from RNAcentral. Lineage: Eukaryota; Fungi; Glomeromycota.